This 621-nucleotide long non-coding RNA is filed under the name Junco hyemalis (dark-eyed junco). Its description in RNAcentral is "lncRNA (ENSJHYG00000013164.1)". The record is from RNAcentral. Lineage: Eukaryota; Metazoa; Chordata; Aves; Passeriformes; Passerellidae.
AAAAAAAAAAAUGUCCCAAACGCACGAGGAUUGAUUUAUCAUCGCAGCCGGAGUGGAAUGGGAAGAAGCCAUCGCUGCUCGCCUGCUCCCCACGACAGCUCGCCCGCCAUUCGCUUAAUUAAAAUCAUAUAUUGGUGUGAUCAGACGUGGUAAUACCAUUAAAAAAACCCAAAUCCCGUAACAUCCACACGCUCGUUGUUGGAGGCUGUAGCCCAGAGAUGUAGAUUUUCCUUGGGAGAUUUGGGAAGGAUUAUUUUUUAAUGGAAAAAAGGAAAAAAAUUACACCCAGAAAAAAAAAACAAAAAACAAAACCAAAACAAAGAAUGAAAAAGAAACAAAAAGGAAAAAAGCACAACAGAACCAAACCGCAUGCUGGAAUCUGCAUUGGCAGGUGUGCAAAUGUGGAGACUGUAAAAGCAGCAAGUGAGGAUGGAUGAGCUGUUUUCUGGGGUCAUAUCCAACUCCAGAGAAGAAACCCUGGUGAUUUAUAAUUUUUUUCUUGUCUCUGCCUGGAUGGCCACAGUCCUGUCUAGUGAUGAAAGCCCUGUGUUUGGGGAGAACCCUUGUGAGGCUCCAGGAACCAGCUCUGUGCUCCACUGUUUUCAGCCCCUGAGCCCAUAG